GACGGAGGGUGCAAGCGUUGUUCGGAAUUACUGGGCGUAAAGAGCGUGUAGGCGGCCAGGUAGGUCUGGUGUGAAAACUCGAGGCUUAACCUCGAGAUGUCAUCGGAAACCAUCUGGCUAGAGUCCGGAAGAGGAGAGUGGAAUUCCUGGUGUAGCGGUGAAAUGCGCAGAUAUCAGGAAGAACACCCGUGGCGAAGGCGGUUCUCUGGGACGGUACUGACGCUGAGACGCGAAAGCGUGGGGAGCGAACAGG
This 253-nucleotide ribosomal RNA is filed under the name uncultured bacterium. RNAcentral's name for it is "partial 16S ribosomal RNA". It matches the Rfam family "Bacterial small subunit ribosomal RNA", at positions 524 to 776 of the family's 1533-position model. The record is from RNAcentral.